GACGAACGCUGGCGGCGUGCUUAACACAUGCCAGUCGAACGGAAAGGCCCUGCUUUUGUGGGGUGCUCGAGUGGCGAACGGGUGAGUAACACGUGAGUAACCUGCCCUUGACUUUGGGAUAACUUCAGGAAACUGGGGCUAAUACCGGAUAGGAGCUCCUGCUGCAUGGUGGGGGUUGGAAAGUUUCGGCGGUUGGGGAUGGACUCGCGGCUUAUCAGCUUGUUGGUGGGGUAGUGGCUUACCAAGGCUUUGACGGGUAGCCGGCCUGAGAGGGUGACCGGCCACAUUGGGACUGAGAUACGGCCCAGACUCCUACGGGAGGCAGCAGUGGGGAAUAUUGCACAAUGGGCGGAAGGCUGAUGCAGCAACGCCGCGUGCGGGAUGACGGCCUUCGGGUUGUAAACCGCUUUCGCCUGUGACGAAGCGUGAGUGACGGUAAUGGGUAAAGAAGCACCGGCUAACUACGUG
RNAcentral lists this ribosomal RNA (468 nucleotides) under uncultured bacterium. Its description in RNAcentral is "partial 16S ribosomal RNA". It matches the Rfam family "Bacterial small subunit ribosomal RNA", at positions 28 to 507 of the family's 1533-position model. The record is from RNAcentral.